Molecule: RNA transcript, 3549 nt
Organism: Carya illinoinensis
Lineage: Eukaryota; Viridiplantae; Streptophyta; Magnoliopsida; Fagales; Juglandaceae
Gene name: guanylate kinase 2, chloroplastic/mitochondrial
Exons: 3
Source: RefSeq, a predicted model, not a curated record
AAGUUGGUUCGAGAAAGGGAAAAGCAUGAAAUCAAUCCGAAACAGAAAGGAAUGAAAAGCCCCCCAAAAUUCCCCUAAUUUGACUUGACCAUAAACCCAUCCUACUCCAUUCUCAGCCAACAGUUUCCAAUUCCAUGCCUCUCCACCGCCCCUCUAUAUAGUGCGCCACCGCAGCCACCGCCACCGCCACGCCUCAUGUUCCGCAGACUCCUCCUCUGCACCUCUUCCCCUUCUCUCUUCCCUUUCAAAUUACCCAUUUCCCUCCCUCCCAGACCGCUAUUUUCCCCAAUUGUCUCCCCUACCCCUCGCCUCUCCCUCUCUCUCUCCCGUAUGUCGCGGCAACCCUCCGUCCCCAUCCCUUCCCUCAACAAAGCCGACCGCUCAGAAGUCAUCCGCGCCUUGGAGGCCACCUUGGGUUCCUCCUUCAGCUCCGAGUCCAUUGCCCCCACCCCCCGCCCCUUAAUCGUCGUCAUUAGCGGGCCCAGUGGGGUCGGCAAGGACGCCGUCAUCAGUCGGCUCAGAGAAGUCCGCAAUAACCUCCACUUCGUAGUCACCGCCACGAGCCGCGCCAAACGUCCCGGCGAGGUGCACGGGAAAGACUAUUACUUCGUGUCCAAGGAUGAGUUUUUGAAAAUGGUUGAGAGGAACGAGUUGUUGGAGCACGCGCUUGUCUAUGGAGACUACAAGGGGAUUCCAAAGCAGCAGGUCCGGGAGUACAUGGCGAGAGGUUACGACAUCGUUUUGAGGGUGGAUAUUCAGGGCGCCGAGACGCUGAGGAGGAUUCUUGGGAACUCCGCGGUUUUCGUGUUCCUGGUGGCGGAGAGCGAAGCAAAGAUGGUGGAGAGGCUGGUGGAGAGGAGGACGGAGAGCAAGGAAGAGCUGCUAGUGAGGAUCGCGACGGCGAGGGAGGAGGUGAGGCACGUGAGGAAUUUCGAUUACGUGGUGGUGAAUGCCGACGGGGAGCUGGAGAGAGCGGUGAGGUUGGUGGAAGCUAUAAUUGACUCCGAGAAGGCCAAGGUGCGGCAGCGAAGUGCAGUAAUAUAGCUCGCGGCCACCUCCGGAUUGUUGGUGAGGAUAGUGAACCGGAUAUAAUUGAUGGUGUAGGUGCUGAAACAUGGCAUGUAAUAAGAACCACCAUGUGUUUAGAGACAUCUAAUCUUAAUCUCACCAAUACAUUACAGUCUUAUAUUCAUAUUUACAGUUUGCUCAAUCAAAUACACUGGGGAUGCAAAUUGUCAAAUAUACCAAUAAUAAAUUCAUACAAAUCAGAAACACACUGGGGAUGCAAAUCUAGAAAUAUACAAAAACCAAAAUACAUUACAGAAAUGCAAAACAUAAUACCCGGUAAUGGUGGUUGCUUGAAAUUGACUGCACCUGAGAAAAUCAGCCAAAAACAAAAUUAAAACAAGUCAAAACAAGGCAAUCUGGGUCGUCCUAAUUAAGCACAAAACCCUCAAGUCAAAAUGCUUCACCGAGAGCUUAACAGAUUCAUCAAACUAGGGUUGCAAGAGAUUUGGAGAGGAGACGAACCUGAAGGAGAAGAAGGUCGCGCUAAGUGCUGAAGGAAGCAACCCAGUAUGGAGCGUCACUCUGCUUCUAUGCGAAGAAAAGAUGAGAGGAAGAAUCGGUAUGGAACUACCGUUACAAAGAGAAAUAGAGAAAGGAGCAAGAAACGGGGGAGGAAAGGGAGAAGAAGAUCGCGCGCACCUGAUUUGAGGAGAGAAACUGUGGGUUUGAUCUGAUUUUGCGUGAAGGAGAAGAAGAGAUGAAGAAUCGGUGCUCGAUCGAAAAUGAGAGAAAGAGAGAAAGGGGGAGAGAAAGAAGCGGGGAGGGAUAUGAGAGAGAGAUAAAAUAAAAUAAAGCCGUUGCAUAUUAAAACUACAAUAAAAUAAACGGUUGAAGGUGUAACAGUAGUCCUUCAGGACUACAAAUUUGAAGGAAGAGGAAGAAAUACUGUAGCUCAAAACUUGAGAUAAACCCCUUUGCCGAAUCCAAUGCAGGUGAAUUUCAUCCAGAUUCAUCAAAUUUUGAAGAUGCAUUUGCUUUUGAUGAAGCCAAUGCCAGUGUUCUAAGUACACAAAUCACGCAUCCAGACACCGUGGGAAUAAACAUAUGGCUUCAGGCUUCACCCUCUGUUGUACGAGUAAUGCUACAUACAGUCGUUGAGUGCGUAAGCACCGCACGAUUGUUUUGAAAAAAAGUUGCAUAAGGCCAUCUAUGGACUUUGUCAAUCACCACGUGCAUGGUACUCCAGACUAAGCUGCCGUUUGGUUGAUCUCGGGUUCACAAUUGUCUCAACUGAUCCCUCACUAUUUUUAUGAACAACCAAGUCCAGCACAAUCUUUGUUCUUGUUUAUGUCGAUGACCUGCUGAUCACUGGUUCCUCAACCUCUCAUAUCUCUGAGAUAAUCACCAAUUUGUGAAGUGAUUUUUCUAUUACCGAUAUCGGUAACUUGCAUUACUUCCUCAGUGUUAAAGUAACCCUAAUGUCAAACGGUUUGCUCUUAACCCAACAUAAGUACAUUCUCGAUCUGUUCACGAGGACCAAUAUGUUGCUUGCCAAACUAGUGAAGACUCCUAUGGCCACCUUUGAAAAAUUGAGUGCUUUUAUAGGACAUAUCUUUGAAGACCCUACUCUAUACCGCAGCACUGUCGACUGACUUCAAUACUUGUCUUUGACAAGGCCUGAUUUAGCUUAUUUGGCAAGGUGUGUCAAUGUAUGCAUGCCCCCCAUAUACCCCAUUGGCAAGCAGUCAAGCGCAUCUUGCGCUAUCUCAAACAUACAUCAUAGGUUGGCUUGCACAUUUCACCAUCUUCAAGCCUUAAUCUCACUACAUUCUCCGACGCCGACUGGACAAGGUGUCCCAAUGAUUGCCGAUCACAAGUGGUUUUUGUGUCUUUUUUGGUGAUAACUUAGUAUCUUGGUCUUCGAAGAAACAACCUACUGUAGCCCGUUCUUCAAUUGAGGUUGAGUUUAAGGCUGUUGCCAACACCACAGCAGAGGUUAUUUGGCUUCAACAUCUUUGCCGCAACUUGGAUAUUAAUCUUACUUGUGCUCCUCUGAUUUAUUGUGAUAAUAUGGGUGCGACUCACCUUUCCUCCAAUCCGGAUUUCCAUACCAGAACAAAACAUGUUCAGAUCGACUUUCACUUUGUACGUGAUCGGGUCUUAAAUAAAUCUCUGCAAGUGGUUUUCAUUUCUGACAAAGAUCAAAUCGCCGAUGCUCUAACAAAGCCUCUCUCCGCUGCACGAUUUGCUUCUAUGAGUUCAAGUCUGUGCUUGCACCACUUGCCGCUUGACUUGAGAGGGGAUGUCAAGGCUAAUAUUGUCUCAACAAUAAAGUCUAGCUCACAAGCCUCACGGCCAAAGGGCAGAAUCACGUAACAACCAUCUGCUGCAUGCACCGGUGUACAUCAUUCCUUUUGUAAUAAACCUAGGUCUAGAAUAUUCGAUCAUGUACAGCAUUUCAUUUUGCUAUAAAUGUGUCAAUCAUAACUGUAAAACAUUGAGAGAAAUUAAUAUAGAAAAGCAGAGGAACCUUUACUUCAA